Molecule: long non-coding RNA, 993 nt
Organism: Canis lupus familiaris (dog)
Lineage: Eukaryota; Metazoa; Chordata; Mammalia; Carnivora; Canidae
Exons: 2
Source: RefSeq, a predicted model, not a curated record
UGCAAAUCUGUGCUGCAGGCUUCCAGUUCGGGUGAGAUGAGUGUCACACACCACAGACCUCUCCCCCGACUACAGCUAAGAACCCAGACAGGGUACAUGGAGCAACCAUCUGAGCAGUCGGCAAAAUGAACCUCAGCAGGAGACUGGAGAAAGGAACCAGACCAAGUAUAGGAGCAACGCUGCUGUCUCCACAAGCCUCUGGACAGAAGUUGCAUUUUUACCUGCAGCCGCCAGGCAACUCAGGAGAGUCCUUGCUGCCCUAAAGAGCUAGGGUCCCAGAGCUGGUCCCAGACCUGGGGGAACCUCCAGGGUUCCCAGACCUCGGGAGUUAGGUGGGCGGGGGAACGGAUGACUAUCACUGCAUCUUCUCUCUCUCUUUGUCCUCUCUCUGCUUGGCCCUGGAAACAAACCCAACCACAGGAAAUAAAUGGCAGACUGGGGAGAGAAAAGCUUCAGCUUGCAAAGCUUCCCAGCCAAAGGACCAGGAAGGGAAGGGGUGGAGGCUCUGAAAGCUGGGAGGCGAUGUUUGGGGGGACGGACAAGCGGAAGCCCCUGGAGAAACGCACCCUAGACCACCGAGACUCACACCCCAGCUGUGCGCACCUGACCAGAGCCCCUGAGGGAGCACCCACUUAGAGAGCUUUGGAGGAAGACCGCCGCCAGUCACAGGCCGACCCCUGGAGGGCGCACGCACGGCACUUCGGAGGAGCACCUGCAGGGCUCCAGAAAGCUGAGCCAGCGCACGUGGCAGCACAGCCCAGGGAAGCCACCUCAGCACCUGAAGUCCCAACCUCAGCAGCUGGACUGCCUGACAUCAGAGAAACGGAAGUCCUAGUUACAGACCCUUCUGGCGAGGGGAUAGCAUUGCUUUGCAAUGUUUGCGGUGUGUGUGUUCAACACGUAGAACUGAAAUCCACCUCAAAAUCGUACCGUGUGUAAAAUUUGAGAAGUACUAAAGACAAGAAGAUAAACGUUUCAAACUGUGCGCUUUAA